RNAcentral lists this ribosomal RNA (429 nucleotides) under Verrucomicrobiota bacterium. RNAcentral describes it as "Verrucomicrobia bacterium partial 16S ribosomal RNA". It matches the Rfam family "Bacterial small subunit ribosomal RNA", at positions 355 to 776 of the family's 1533-position model. Lineage: Bacteria; Pseudomonadati; Verrucomicrobiota. The record is from RNAcentral.
UAGGGAAUCUUCCGCAAUGGACGAAAGUCUGACGGAGCAACGCCGCGUGAGUGAAGAAGGAUUUCGGUUCGUAAAACUCUGUUGUUAGGGAAGAAAAAAUGUAUAGUAACUAUAUACAAAAGAGACGGUACCUAACCAGAAAGCCACGGCUAACUACGUGCCAGCAGCCGCGGUAAUACGUAGGUGGCAAGCGUUGUCCGGAAUUAUUGAGCGUAAAGCGCGCGCAGGUGGUUUAGAAAGUCUGAUGUGAAAGCCCACGGCUCAACCGUGGAGGGUCAUUGGAAACUAAUAAACUUGAGUGCAGGAGAGAAAAGUGGAAUUCCUAGUGUAGCGGUGAAAUGCGUAGAGAUUAGGAGGAACACCGGUGGCGAAAGCGGCUUUUUGGCCUGCAACUGACACUGAGGCGCGAAAGCGUGGGGAGCAAACAGG